This 408-nucleotide ribosomal RNA is filed under the name uncultured Methylomirabilota bacterium. RNAcentral's name for it is "bacterial SSU rRNA". It matches the Rfam family "Bacterial small subunit ribosomal RNA", at positions 1027 to 1434 of the family's 1533-position model. Lineage: Bacteria; Methylomirabilota (SeqCode). The record is from RNAcentral.
CGUGGAGACAGGUGGUGCAUGGCUGUCGUCAGCUCGUGUCGUGAGAUGUUGGGUUAAGUCCCGCAACGAGCGCAACCCUUACCCCUUGUUGCCAUCAGGUCAUGCUGGGCACUCUAGGGGAACUGCCCCGGUCAACGGGGAGGAAGGUGGGGACGACGUCAAGUCAUCAUGCCCCUUACGUCCUGGGCUACACACGUGCUACAAUGGCCGGUACAAAGGGAUGCAAAAACGCGAGGUGGAGCCAAACCCAGAAAGCCGGUCUAAGUUCAGAUUGGAGUCUGCAACUCGACUCCAUGAAGGAGGAAUCGCUAGUAAUCGCGCAUCAGCACGGCGCGGUGAAUACGUUCCCGGGCCUUGUACACACCGCCCGUCACACCACGAAAGCCAGCUGUACUCGAAGUCGCUGAG